GUUUAAUUCGACGCAACGCGAAGAACCUUACCUGGGCUUGACAUCCUGUGACCACCCUAGAAAUAGGGCUUUCUCCUCGGAGACACAGUGACAGGUGCUGCAUGGCUGUCGUCAGCUCGUGUCGUGAGAUGUUGGGUUAAGUCCCGCAACGAGCGCAACCCUUGUCCUUAGUUGCCAUCAGAUAAUGCUGGGCACUUUAGGGAGACUGCCAGUGAUAAGCUGGAGGAGGGUGAGGAUGACGUCAAGUCCUCAUGGCCUUUAUGUCCAGGGCUACACACGUGUUACAAUGGGUACUACAAAGAGCAGCAAGACCGCGAGGUGGAGCAAAUCUCAAAAAAGUAUUCUCAGUUCGGAUUGUAGUCUGCAACUCGACUACAUGAAGUUGGAAUCGCUAGUAAUCGCAGAUCAGAACGCUGCGGUGAAUACGUUCCUGGGCCUUGUACACACCGCCCGUCACACCAUGGGAGUCGACAGGGGCAGAAGACGUUGAGCCAACCUUCGGG
This 503-nucleotide ribosomal RNA is filed under the name uncultured bacterium. Its description in RNAcentral is "bacterial SSU rRNA". It matches the Rfam family "Bacterial small subunit ribosomal RNA", at positions 944 to 1446 of the family's 1533-position model. The record is from RNAcentral.